This 422-nucleotide ribosomal RNA is filed under the name Fusobacteriota bacterium. RNAcentral's name for it is "Fusobacteria bacterium partial 16S ribosomal RNA". It matches the Rfam family "Bacterial small subunit ribosomal RNA", at positions 355 to 776 of the family's 1533-position model. The record is from RNAcentral. Lineage: Bacteria; Fusobacteriati; Fusobacteriota.
UGGGGGAUUUUGCACAAUGGGCGCAAGCCUGAUGCAGCGACGCCGCGUGAGGGAUGAAGGCCUUCGGGUUGUAAACCUCUUUCGCUGGGUUGAAAGGCCAUGCUUUGGGUGUGGUUGAUUUGAACUGGUAAAGAAGUACCGGCUAACUACGUUCCAGCAGCCGCGGUAAUACGUAGGGUACUAGCGUUGUCCGGAUUUAUUGGGCGUAAAGGGCUUGUAGGUGGUUUGUCGCGUCUGUCGUGAAAUCCUGUGGCUUAACCAUGGGCUUGCGGUGGGUACGGGCAGGCUUGAGUGCGGGAGGGGCGACUGGAAUUCCUGGUGUGGCGGUGGAAUGCGCAGAUAUCAGGAGGAACACCGGUGGCGAAGGCGCGUCUCUGGGCCGUUACUGACACUGAGGAGCGAAAGCGUGGGGAGCGAACAGG